GGCCCCUUGGUCUAGUCAGGCACGACGCCGCGUUCUCAGCGCGGAGAUCGCCGGUUCAAAUCCGGCAGGGGUCACCA
RNAcentral lists this transfer RNA (77 nucleotides) under Microbacterium sp. RNAcentral's name for it is "tRNA-Glu". It matches the Rfam family "tRNA". From Rfam's summary of the family: Transfer RNA (tRNA) molecules are approximately 80 nucleotides in length. The record is from RNAcentral. Lineage: Bacteria; Bacillati; Actinomycetota; Actinomycetes; Micrococcales; Microbacteriaceae.